Molecule: long non-coding RNA, 427 nt
Filed under: Bos taurus (domestic cattle)
Lineage: Eukaryota; Metazoa; Chordata; Mammalia; Artiodactyla; Bovidae
Description: long non-coding RNA NONBTAT015158
Source: RNAcentral
CUUUUGCAAUCUCCAUCUCCUUCCUAUUCUAUCCCAGAGUUUACACCACUUUGUGCAUCAUUUUAGGCAAAGUCAUUGCCUAAAGAGCAAUGAGCUCAGUUGAACUUUUCUGAGCUAAAGAGCCCAGUUGAGCUUUUCUAAGGCUGGAGGCACUGCAGCCCAGCAUGACUUCCUCUCUUUCCUGAACCAAACAAAAUAUUGUUACAGCAAACAUGAAAUCUCUCUUAUUUUUCACAAACGCUCUCCAGGCCUAACAAAGCUAGCAAGCAGUCACACUCCUUGAAUCAAAAUAAGCAUCUGCCUCUUCUCUCUUUAUCCCGCUUUCCCAGCAUUUUUGAGCAACAAUUAAGAAUGUGAGUAUUUUAUUAAUUCAUCUUAGGACUCCACUGAGUGUUUUCUGGAUAGCAUGCGAACGUAUUAAAACCUU